AGAGUUUGAUCCUGGCUCAGGACGAACGCUGGCGGCGUGCUUAACACAUGCAAGUCGAACGAUGAUGCCCAGCUUGCUGGGUGGAUUAGUGGCGAACGGGUGAGUAACACGUGAGUAACCUGCCCCUGACUCUGGGAUAAGCGUUGGAAACGACGUCUAAUACUGGAUAUGAUCACUGGCCGCAUGGUCUGGUGGUGGAAAGAUUUUUUGGUUGGGGAUGGACUCGCGGCCUAUCAGCUUGUUGGUGAGGUAAUGGCUCACCAAGGCGACGACGGGUAGCCGGCCUGAGAGGGUGACCGGCCACACUGGGACUGAGACACGGCCCAGACUCCUACGGGAGGCAGCAGUGGGGAAUAUUGCACAAUGGGCGAAAGCCUGAUGCAGCAACGCCGCGUGAGGGAUGACGGCCUUCGGGUUGUAAACCUCUUUUAGUAGGGAAGAAGCGAAAGUGACGGUACCUGCAGAAAAAGCACCGGCUAACUACGUGCCAGCAGCCGCGGUAAUACGUAGGGUGCAAGCGUUGUCCGGAAUUAUUGGGCGUAAAGAGCUCGUAGGCGGUUUGUCGCGUCUGCUGUGAAAUCCCGAGGCUCAACCUCGGGCUUGCAGUGGGUACGGGCAGACUAGAGUGCGGUAGGGGAGAUUGGAAUUCCUGGUGUAGCGGUGGAAUGCGCAGAUAUCAGGAGGAACACCGAUGGCGAAGGCAGAUCUCUGGGCCGUAACUGACGCUGAGGAGCGAAAGCAUGGGGAGCGAACAGGAUUAGAUACCCUGGUAGUCCAUGCCGUAAACGUUGGGCGCUAGAUGUAGGGACCUUUCCACGGUUUCUGUGUCGUAGCUAACGCAUUAAGCGCCCCGCCUGGGGAGUACGGCCGCAAGGCUAAAACUCAAAGGAAUUGACGGGGGCCCGCACAAGCGGCGGAGCAUGCGGAUUAAUUCGAUGCAACGCGAAGAACCUUACCAAGGCUUGACAUACACCGGAAACGGCCAGAGAUGGUCGCCCCCUUGUGGUCGGUGUACAGGUGGUGCAUGGUUGUCGUCAGCUCGUGUCGUGAGAUGUUGGGUUAAGUCCCGCAACGAGCGCAACCCUCGUUCUAUGUUGCCAGCGGGUUAUGCCGGGGACUCAUAGGAGACUGCCGGGGUCAACUCGGAGGAAGGUGGGGAUGACGUCAAAUCAUCAUGCCCCUUAUGUCUUGGGCUUCACGCAUGCUACAAUGGCCGGUACAAAGGGCUGCGAUACCGUAAGGUGGAGCGAAUCCCAAAAAGCCGGUCUCAGUUCGGAUUGAGGUCUGCAACUCGACCUCAUGAAGUCGGAGUCGCUAGUAAUCGCAGAUCAGCAACGCUGCGGUGAAUACGUUCCCGGGCCUUGUACACACCGCCCGUCAAGUCAUGAAAGUCGGUAACACCCGAAGCCGGUGGCCUAACCCUUGUGGAAGGAGCCGUCGAAGGUGGGAUCGGUGAUUAGGACUAAGUCGUAACAAGGUAGCCGUA
Molecule: ribosomal RNA, 1486 nt
Filed under: Curtobacterium sp. D-17
Lineage: Bacteria; Bacillati; Actinomycetota; Actinomycetes; Micrococcales; Microbacteriaceae
Description: bacterial SSU rRNA
Rfam family: Bacterial small subunit ribosomal RNA
Source: RNAcentral